Non-coding RNA from Humulus lupulus (European hop), 73 nucleotides. NCBI's taxonomy places the organism in Eukaryota, Viridiplantae, Streptophyta, Magnoliopsida, Rosales, Cannabaceae. The record is from the annotation of a RefSeq genome assembly.
GCGCCCGUGGCCUAAUGGAUAAGGCGUCUGAUUUCUAAUCAGGUGAUUGUGGGUUCGAGUCCCACUGAGCGUG